AGAUUGGAUGACUAAACCUGGAUGAUUAUGAAACAAACUAACGUAAAGUUCUCUGAAAAAUUUGCAAGCUUGUAGUCAAGGAAGAACCUAAGGCAAGGCCAGUUCCAACAGAUACAGAGCCUCCUCAAUAGCAAAGCAAACAUUCAAGAAAGAUUAAUGUUUUGCUAUUAGAGGUAUCAAGCAGGGAGGAAGCAGGAGCUGUGGCAUUGCAAUAAAGAAGCAGCCGUGAUCACGUUGAAUGAGAGAAAUCUGAGAAAGGACUUUGUCACAAUCCUUCCAGACUGAAAAAGGUACAUUAUUGGCAGACAACGUUCAGGCUGGGUGACCAGAACUGGACACAGUACUCCAGAAGAGGCCUCACCAACGUCCUGUUAAACUUCAACGUGACAUUGCAACACCUAUACUCAAAGGUCUGAGC
Molecule: long non-coding RNA, 418 nt
Organism: Rhincodon typus (whale shark)
Lineage: Eukaryota; Metazoa; Chordata; Chondrichthyes; Orectolobiformes; Rhincodontidae
Exons: 4
Source: RefSeq, a predicted model, not a curated record